UUAAGUCAGAUGUGAAAGACCCGGGGCGUUAACCUCCGGAAUUGCAUUUGAAACUAGGCAGGCUAGAGUCUUGUAGAGGGGGGUAGGAAGUUUCAGGUGUAGCGGUGAAAUAGCGUAGAGAUCUGAAGGAAUACCAGUGGCGAAGGCGGCCCCCUCGGACAAAGACUGACGCUCAGAUGCGAAAGCGUGGGGAGCAAACAGGAUUAGAUACCCUGGUAG
RNAcentral lists this ribosomal RNA (219 nucleotides) under uncultured bacterium. RNAcentral describes it as "partial 16S ribosomal RNA". It matches the Rfam family "Bacterial small subunit ribosomal RNA", at positions 583 to 793 of the family's 1533-position model. The record is from RNAcentral.